Molecule: ribosomal RNA, 294 nt
Filed under: uncultured bacterium
Lineage: Bacteria
Description: partial 16S ribosomal RNA
Rfam family: Bacterial small subunit ribosomal RNA
Source: RNAcentral
GGAUUAGAUACCCUGGUAGUCCAUGCCGUAAACGUUGGGCACUAGGUGUGGGGGACAUUCCACGUUUUCCGCGCCGUAGCUAACGCAUUAAGUGCCCCGCCUGGGGAGUACGGCCGCAAGGCUAAAACUCAAAGGAAUUGACGGGGGCCCGCACAAGCGGCGGAGCAUGCGGAUUAAUUCGAUGCAACGCGAAGAACCUUACCAAGGCUUGACAUGAACCGGAAAGACCUGGAAACAGGUGCCCCGCUUGCGGUCGGUUUACAGGUGGUGCAUGGUUGUCGUCAGCUCGUGCCG